CCAAUAGCGUAUAUUAAAGUUGUUGCAGUUAAAAAGCUCGUAGUUGAGUUUCGGGAUCAAUAUGUUGGUCGUGCCUUGGUACGUACUAGUUUAUUGGUUUCUUCCUUCUGACGAACCAUGAUGUCAUUAAUUUGGUGUCAUGGGGAAUCAGGACUGUUACUUUGAAAAAAUUAGAGUGUUUAAAGCAGGCUCACGCUUGAAUACAUUAGCAUGGAAUAAUGAAAUAGGACGUUUGAUUCUAUUUUGUUGGUUUCUAGGAUCGACGUAAUGAUUAAUAGGGAUAGUUGGGGGCAUUAGUAUUCAAUUGUCAGAGGUGAAAUUCUUGGAUUUAUUGAAGACUAACUACUGCGAAAGCAUUUGCCAAGGAUGUUUUCAUUAAUCAAGAACGAAAGUUAGGGGAUCGAAGACGAUCAGAUACCGUCGUAGUCUUAACCAUAAACUAUGCCGACUAGGGAUCGGAUGAUGUUAAUUUUUUAAUGACUCAUUCGGCGCCUUACG
Molecule: ribosomal RNA, 498 nt
Filed under: uncultured Glomeromycotina
Lineage: Eukaryota; Fungi; Glomeromycota
Description: partial small subunit ribosomal RNA
Rfam family: Eukaryotic small subunit ribosomal RNA
Source: RNAcentral